UGAAGAGCUUGAAGAUGUAUCUGACCUUGAAGAAGACCAUGAUGCACGUAGUCGCACAAGUAUUCAGACAGAAGGGAAGACUGACAGGGCCAAGAUGACUCAACUGCCAGAGGCUGAAAAAGAAAAGAUAGCUGAGCAAGUGGCUGACUU
This is a non-coding RNA of Meleagris gallopavo (turkey), 150 nucleotides long. Lineage: Eukaryota; Metazoa; Chordata; Aves; Galliformes; Phasianidae. The record is from RefSeq and is a predicted model, not a curated record.